UCAACGGUCCUUUUAAGGACCACCCACAUAAUGAUAUAAUGAUUUU
This 46-nucleotide non-coding RNA is filed under the name Xyrichtys novacula (pearly razorfish). It matches the Rfam family "Histone 3' UTR stem-loop". Rfam says of the family: The mRNAs of metazoan histone genes lack a poly-A tail. 3' end processing occurs at a site between a highly conserved stem-loop (modelled by this family) and a purine rich region around 20 nts downstream (the histone downstream element, or HDE). The record is from RNAcentral. Lineage: Eukaryota; Metazoa; Chordata; Actinopteri; Labriformes; Labridae.